This 22-nucleotide microRNA is filed under the name Solanum tuberosum (potato). RNAcentral describes it as "stu-miR8032f-5p". The record is from miRBase by way of RNAcentral. Lineage: Eukaryota; Viridiplantae; Streptophyta; Magnoliopsida; Solanales; Solanaceae.
UGGUCGGCAUGACUCCCGAGGU